GGUUGUCGUCAGCUCGUGUCGUGAGAUGUUGGGUUAAGUCCGCAACGAGCGCAACCUUGUGUUUAGUUGCCAACAGGUUAAGCUGUGCACUCUAAACAGACUGCCGUGGAUAACACGGAGGAAGGUGGGGAUGACGUCAAAUCAUCAUGCCCCUUAUGAUCUGGGCUACACACGUGCUACAAUGGUCGGUACAACGGGCAGCGAAAGAGUAAUCUGGAGCGAAUCCUAAAAAGCCGAUCCCAGUUCGGAUUGUGGGCUGAAACUCGCCCACAUGAAGUUGGAGUUGCUAGUAAUCGCGAAUCAGAAUGUCGCGGUGAAUGCGUUCCCGGGUCUU
This 334-nucleotide ribosomal RNA is filed under the name uncultured Fusibacter sp. RNAcentral describes it as "bacterial SSU rRNA". It matches the Rfam family "Bacterial small subunit ribosomal RNA", at positions 1047 to 1382 of the family's 1533-position model. The record is from RNAcentral. Lineage: Bacteria; Bacillati; Bacillota; Clostridia; Eubacteriales; Fusibacteraceae.